CCUACGGGUGGCAGCAGUGGGGAAUAUUGCACAAUGGGGGAAACCCUGAUGCAGCAACGCCGCGUGAGUGAAGAAGUAUUUCGGUAUGUAAAGCUCUAUCAGCAGGGAAGAGAAUGACGGUACCUGACUAAGAAGCACCGGCUAACUACGUGCCAGCAGCCGCGGUAAUACGUAGGGGGCGAGCGUUAUUCGGAUUUACUGGGUGUAAAGGGAGCGUAGACGGGUCUGCAAGUCAGAUGUGAAAGCCCGUGGCUUAACCAUGGAACGGCAUUGGAAACUGUGGAACUGGAGUGCUGGAGAGGUAAGCGGAAUUCCUGGUGUAGCGGUGAAAUGCGUAGAUAUUAGGAGGAAUACCAGUGGCGAAGGCGGCUUACUGGACUGUAACUGACGUUGAGGCUCGAAAGCGUGGGGAGCAAACAGGAUUAGAUACCCCUGUAGUC
RNAcentral lists this ribosomal RNA (440 nucleotides) under uncultured bacterium. RNAcentral's name for it is "partial 16S ribosomal RNA". It matches the Rfam family "Bacterial small subunit ribosomal RNA", at positions 338 to 795 of the family's 1533-position model. The record is from RNAcentral.